UGCAGUCGAACGAUGACGACCGAGCUUGCUCGGUCUGAUUAGUGGCGAACGGGUGAGUAACACGUGAGCAACCUGCCCUUCACUCUGGGAUAACCUCGGGAAAUCGGGGCUAAUACCGGAUAUGAGCUCCUGUCGCAUGGCGGGUGUUGGAAAGUUUUUCGGUGAAGGAUGGGCUCGCGGCCUAUCAGUUUGUUGGUGAGGUAGUGGCUCACCAAGGCGAUGACGGGUAGCCGGCCUGAGAGGGCGACCGGCCACACUGGGACUGAGACACGGCCCAGACUCCUACGGGAGGCAGCAGUGGGGAAUAUUGCACAAUGGGCGAAAGCCUGAUGCAGCGACGCCGCGUGAGGGAUGACGGCCUUCGGGUUGUAAACCUCUUUCAGCAGGGAAGAAGCGAAAGUGACGGUACCUGCAGAAGAAGCGCCGGCUAACUACGUGCCAGCAGCCGCGGUAAUACGUAGGGCGCAAGCGUUGUCCGGAAUUAUUGGGCGUAAAGAGCUUGUAGGUGGCUUGUCGCGUCUGCCGUGAAAACCCGAGGCUCAACCUCGGGCGUGCGGUGGGUACGGGCAGGCUAGAGUGUGGUAGGGGAGACUGGAACUCCUGGUGUAGCGGUGAAAUGCGCAGAUAUCAGGAAGAACACCGAUGGCGAAGGCAGGUCUCUGGGCCAUUACUGACACUGAGAAGCGAAAGCAUGGGGAGCGAACAGGAUUAGAUACCCUGGUAGUCCAUGCCGUAAACGUUGGGCACUAGAUGUGGGGAACAUUCCACGUUUUCCGCGUCGUAGCUAACGCAUUAAGUGCCCCGCCUGGGGAGUACGGCCGC
This 822-nucleotide ribosomal RNA is filed under the name Brachybacterium sp. MCCC 1A10544. RNAcentral describes it as "bacterial SSU rRNA". It matches the Rfam family "Bacterial small subunit ribosomal RNA", at positions 56 to 889 of the family's 1533-position model. The record is from RNAcentral. Lineage: Bacteria; Bacillati; Actinomycetota; Actinomycetes; Micrococcales; Dermabacteraceae.